UUCAGUACGACAUUGCUCACAUUGCUUCCAGUAUUUCUUGCCCACUCCUGAGUGGGCUUUUUUU
Molecule: non-coding RNA, 64 nt
Filed under: Enterobacter asburiae
Lineage: Bacteria; Pseudomonadati; Pseudomonadota; Gammaproteobacteria; Enterobacterales; Enterobacteriaceae
Also listed under: 2 other names
Source: RNAcentral